RNAcentral lists this transfer RNA (73 nucleotides) under Acidimicrobiia bacterium. RNAcentral's name for it is "tRNA-Met". It matches the Rfam family "tRNA". From Rfam's summary of the family: Transfer RNA (tRNA) molecules are approximately 80 nucleotides in length. Their secondary structure includes four short double-helical elements and three loops (D, anti-codon, and T loops). RNAcentral also lists the same sequence under 3 other names. The record is from RNAcentral. Lineage: Bacteria; Bacillati; Actinomycetota; Acidimicrobiia.
GGCGGCGUAGCUCAGUUGGCAGAGCACUCGGCUCAUAAUCGAGGAGUCGGCGGUUCGAGUCCGCCCGCCGCUA